CCUACGGGAGGCAGCAGUGAGGAAUAUUGGUCAAUGGGCGCUAACCUGAACCAGCCACGUAGCGUGAAGGAUGACUGCCCUCUGGGUUGUAAACUUCUUUUAUAUGGGAAUAAAGUGCAGUAUGUAUACUGCUUUGCAUGUACCUUAUGAAUAAGGAUCGGCUAACUCCGUGCCACCAGCCGCGGUAAUACUGAGGAUCCGAGCGUUAUCCGGAUUUAUUGGGUUUAAAGGGAGCGUAGGCGGGUUGUUAAGUCAGUUGUGAAAGUUUGCGGCUCAACCGUAAAAUUGCAGUUGAUACUGGCAUCCUAGAGUACAGUAGAGGUAGGCGGAAUUCGUGGUGUAGCGGUGAAAUGCGUAGAUAUCACGAAGAACUCCGAUGGCGAAGGCAGCCUGCUGGACUGUAACUGACGCUGAUGCUCGAAAGUGUGGGGAUCAAACAGGAUUAGAUACCCCUGUAGUC
RNAcentral lists this ribosomal RNA (460 nucleotides) under uncultured bacterium. RNAcentral's name for it is "partial 16S ribosomal RNA". It matches the Rfam family "Bacterial small subunit ribosomal RNA", at positions 338 to 795 of the family's 1533-position model. The record is from RNAcentral.